Molecule: ribosomal RNA, 423 nt
Filed under: Triticum aestivum (bread wheat)
Lineage: Eukaryota; Viridiplantae; Streptophyta; Magnoliopsida; Poales; Poaceae
Description: partial small subunit ribosomal RNA
Source: RNAcentral
AUGGCCGGCCCUGGCAGUGGCAGACCAGCCGGCGGCGAAGGCUACUGUGAUGUGAUUUAUUCACCCUAUCCGCAGUCGUCGCCUUUUGCUCCUCGCCUGACCGACCUGUUCCAACAAUUCGGCCUGGACAAGAUCCGCGAUAUCAUGAACCGUCCCGAUGGCAAGACGUUCGAGCAGAGGAUCAUCCACUUACGAGAGGAACUGGAUGCUUUCGAACGUGCUCGUAACAUAUUCUACAUGGUCGAGGUCGACGAUGACGAGGAUGAGGAUGAGGACGAGGACGAGGAGGAUGAAAAUGUAGGACAGAUGCUCUUAGGUGAUGAAGAAAACCCAGAUACCGCAAAACGGCCACAUGCUCCUAUUGAAGGCGAACUGGAGUGCGAGAAGCCAAAGAUGGCACAAGACUUGAGGUGCCGAUUAUGA